GUGAGCUUGCUCACGGAUUCAGCGGCGGACGGGUGAGUAAUGCCUAGGAAUCUGCCUGGUAGUGGGGGACAACGUUUCGAAAGGAACGCUCAUACCGCAUACGUCCUACGGGAGAAAGCAGGGGACCUUCGGGCCUUGCGCUAUCAGAUGAGCCUAGGUCGGAUUAGCUAGUUGGUGAGGUAAUGGCUCACCAAGGCUACGAUCCGUAACUGGUCUGAGAGGAUGAUCAGUCACACUGGAACUGAGACACGGUCCAGACUCCUACGGGAGGCAGCAGUGGGGAAUAUUGGACAAUGGGCGAAAGCCUGAUCCGGCCAUGCCGCGUGUGUGAAGAAGGUCUUCGGAUUGUAAAGCACUUUAASUUGGGAGGAAGGGUUGUAGAUUAAUACUCUGCAAUUUUGACGUUACCGACAGAAUAAGCACCGGCUAACUCUGUGCCAGCAGCCGCGGUAAUACAGAGGGUGCAAGCGUUAAUCGGAAUUACUGGGCGUAAAGCGCGCGUAGGUGGUUCGUUAAGUUGGAUGUGAAAUCCCCGGGCUCAACCUGGGAACUGCAUCCAAAACUGGCAAGCUAGAGUAUGGUAGAGGGUGGUGGAAUUUCCUGUGUACCGGUGAAAUGCGUAAAUAUAGGAAGGAACACCAGUGGCGAAGGCGACCACCUGGACUGAUACUGACACUGAGGUGCGAAAGCGUGAGGAGCAAACAGGAUUAGAUACCCUGGUAGUCCACGCCCUAAACGAUGUCAACUAGCCUUUGGGAGCCUUGAGCUCUUAGUGGCGCAGCUAACGCAUUAAGUUGACCGC
This 802-nucleotide ribosomal RNA is filed under the name Pseudomonas sp. RNAcentral's name for it is "bacterial SSU rRNA". It matches the Rfam family "Bacterial small subunit ribosomal RNA", at positions 74 to 872 of the family's 1533-position model. The record is from RNAcentral. Lineage: Bacteria; Pseudomonadati; Pseudomonadota; Gammaproteobacteria; Pseudomonadales; Pseudomonadaceae.